ACAUGGAGGUUCCCAGGCUAGGGGUCGAAUUGGAGCUACAGCUGCCAGCCUACACCACAGCCACAGCAACACAGGAUCUGAACUGCGUCUGCGACGCACACCACAGCUCACAGCAAUGCUGGAUCCUUAACCCACUGAGUGAGGCCAGGGAUCGAACCCGUGUCCUCAUGGUUACUAGUUGGAUUCAUUUCUGCUGAGCCACAAUGGGAACACCUGAUGGUGCAAUAUAUUGCAAUAUUCUAUACCCUGUAUUUACUAGUGUUGGUUCCCAGGCUAGGGGUUGAAUCCGAGCUGUAGCCUCUGGGCUUUGCCAUAGCCACAGCAACAUCAAAUCCAAGCCAUGUCUGUGAGCUGCAUGGCUACACCAUAGCUCAGGGCCGCGCUGGAUCCUUAACCCAUUGAGCAAGUCCAGGGAUCAAACCUGCAUCCUCAUGGAUGCUAGCCAGAUUCCUUUCCACUGAGCCUCAAUGGGAACUCCAUAUUGCCUCUUUUUAUGCUAUGUAUCUUUUUAACAUAUUCCUUGUAUCCUGCUUUAUUCUUAAAAUAUAAAAAUAUAGAUAUUUUAUGUUUUUCAUGGUCUUCAUAAAUAUUUUUGUAGCUGCAUAACAUAUCAGCAAGGGUAGAUUUUAUAUACAAAUUUCCCCAUUGUGGACAUAUAAAUUGUUUCAAAUAUUUUUAGGAUUGUAAAUAAUGCUCAGAUGGAUCAUUUUUCAGUAAAGAUAUCUCCCAAAAGGAAAUAUGCUGCUCUCUAGAUAUAUUUUUAUUAUCUUUUUCUUGUUUAUAUUGAUCUGUAUCAAAAGUUUAAUAUUUUUUACAUUCCUGAAUUAUAUUGCAAAUGUGUUUUCCAAAAUGGUUUGCCAAUUUACAUUUCUGUAUGUAGCAUUCAGUGUCCUCAUUGAACUGAAUCCCUGAGAGCAUUAAAAUUCUAGCAGUAUUAAAAUGUUUUUUCAACCAUUACUAGUUUUGCAAACAAAAAAUAGAAUCUUACUUUACUUUUAAUUAACAUUCCUUUUAGCAAGCAUUUUAAUGUUUUUUAGACAAUAUUUUUUUUUGAGUUGCUUAUUGCUGUUCUGAGAUGAGUUGUAUCCUAAAUUCCUGCGUUGAAGUCCUCACCCCUUAUACCUCAAAAUGUGACUGUAUUUGGAGAUAAGGACUUUAAAGAGAUAGUAAGGGAAAAUGAGGUCAUAUGGGUGGGUCCUAAUUCAAUAUGACUAGUAUCCUUAUACAAAGAGAUUAGGACACAGGAAGCACGAAGACCAAGAGAGAACCAUGUAGGACACAGAAAGAAAGCAUCCAUCUUUACGCAGAGGAGAGAGAUCCCAGAAGAAACCCAACCUGCCAGCAGCUAGAUCUCAGACUUCUGGCUUCUAGAACUGUGAGAUAAUAAAUUUCUGUUCCUUAAACCAUUCAGCCUGUAGUAUUUUGUUAUAGCACCUCUAGCAAAAUAAAACAGUGUUUCUUGCCAAUUUAUUUAUUAGGGUCUUAGAGCGUUUCUUCUUCAUUUGUACAGACUCUUUAAAAAAACUUUUUUUGGAGUAUAGUUAACUUACAAUGUUGUAUUAGUUUCACGUGUACAGCAAAGUCAACCAGUUUAUAUAUAGAGAGAGAGAAAGAGAAAGAGAGGGAGAGAGAAUCUAUUUAUCUAGAGAUCAUAUGAAUUAAUAUACAUAAAUUCAUUCUUUUAUCUGUAUAGCUUAUUACAAGCUAUAGAGUAGAUUUCCCUGUGCUUUGCAGUAGAUUCUUAUUGAGUGAAAUAAAUCAGACGGAGAAGGAUAAAUAUUGUAUGAUAUUGCUUAUAUGUAGAAUCUAAUAAAAAUUAUACAAAAUAACUUAUAAAACAAAACAAACUCACACAUUUCAAAACCAAUCUUAUGGUGACCAUAGGGAAAAUAGAAACAAACUUACAGCUUUCAAAACCACUCCUAUGGUUACCAUAGGGGAAACCAUUGGGGGUGGGGGAGGGGAUUAGGAGAGUGGGAAUAACACAUACAAGCUCUUUUUAUGUUAAACAUAUUUAUGUAUUUAUUGUUUCCUUUUUGCACUUCUUACAAAGUGAUUCUUUGGUUUUUCCAUGUUUUCCUCUUUUUUUAGCUUACAACAUGUGUGUAUUUAAUUUUUUCCCAUAAUUAUUCAUCUUUUCUAUAUGCUUUUCUUCCUGGUACUUCAAAGCCUGAAAAGUCUUUUUCCUUUAAGUGAUUUUAUACACUGUCAGUUCUAGUUUUUGUUAGUUUUUCUGUGACUUGAAGUUGACCUGUAUAAUAUAACUAUUUUCCAUGUUUGAGAAUGCAGACUUACAAAAGUUGGUGAAUUUCAAAUGUACAGAGCAAAGCUUUCUUUAAGAUUUUUAUGUCAUGCCCAGAACCCAGUCUUCUUUAUUUGAAAUGACCUAUUUAAGAUAACAGUUAUUUUCAGUGGCUUUUACUUCAUUUUGAAAACCUGCAUUGUAAAAUGGAACAAUAACCUCAUUUUUUAAAUCUUCAAUUUUGUUAAGAUCAACUGUUAUAAAGACAAAGAACCUCAAGACAAAGAAUGGCUACAGUUCUCUGAAAUCUGUUCAGUGUCUGAAGUUCUACUGAAAUCUUUCAAGUUAAGGACAUGAUGUCUUGUAAGAUGAAAAAAAAUAUUUCCUCCUGCUUUUUCUUGUUUUCAUUUGUGAUUCUGGUGCUAAGAAAAAAUUUAUUCUUUUAUGGAUUGUUUUUUCCAAAGUUUCUGCUUCUUUCUUUUUUUUCCUGUGAAGAUCUUUCUAGAACUUGUUUAGAAAUAUUCAUUGUAUUUCUUUGUUUUUGCUCUCAGGCCCCAUUAAAAAGGCCAUCUCUUCAAGACACUGAUAGUUCUUUUGUUGGUGGUGUUCAUUUCAAAAUAUAAAACUGUCUUGACUUGUGAGCUAAAAUUAUCUGACAAUUAUGGAAUUUAUCCUGAGUUGAACUGUCUUAUGUCAGUGCAGAAUAGUUAAAAAAAAAAAAAAAAAAAAAA
Molecule: long non-coding RNA, 2973 nt
Filed under: Sus scrofa (pig)
Lineage: Eukaryota; Metazoa; Chordata; Mammalia; Artiodactyla; Suidae
Description: lncRNA (ENSSSCG00050034353.1)
Source: RNAcentral